Scylla paramamosain (green mud crab) is the source of this 2465-nucleotide long non-coding RNA. RefSeq lists it as uncharacterized. The transcript has 2 exons. Lineage: Eukaryota; Metazoa; Arthropoda; Malacostraca; Decapoda; Portunidae. The record is from RefSeq and is a predicted model, not a curated record.
UAUUAUAAUGUUCUAUCAAUUUUAUAUAUUUAUGUAUUAUAUAUCUUCUUUCUUUUUCCCUCUCUCCUCACGUACAGCAUGGGACCCAGGCUGAGGUCAGCUGGGUUUCCCUAUAAAUUUUCAUAUAUUUUUCCUCCUCCCGUAAUUUCACCGUGAGAACCACACUGAGUUCAGUAUCGUUCACACGGUUCAGUAUGGGAAACGAGUUGUUGCCGUACAUAUGUGCAAAUUAGCCUAGUUAUCUUACGAUAACAUUUAUAUAUGAAUGUUGUCACGUCCCGGACUACUACACACCUCUUUCCACCCUUACCUCCUCUUUCUUCCCCUCCUCGCUCCUGUUCUCGUGCCACGUAGCUCCUCUCAUAUGUCCGAACACCACUACCGAAGCCUUGUUACUCCUCGACACGCCACAUCGCCUCACCCUUGUCCCUCGUUUCCCCGUCCUCUCCCGUUAUUCACGAGUCCCGUUUCACAUCCUUGUCAGUUCAUUCGUUGACUCAGUGGCCCACGUUCUCUCCUGGAUGUAGCUGCUAACUCUCACAAGGACAUCGCAUCACCCACCGCCCUAGGACCAUUACCUACAUCACUCAGGACCUGGAAGGAACCUUGGCAUAUCUCAACGAAUUGGAAAUGGUGCUUGACAGUUGGAAGGGACACCUGGUGCAAUUUUGAGACUGCUGAACAACCUACAAGAGGCCAGAUUGACCAUAAACCUUGAAAAGUCCUUUGGGAUAUCUUCAGUCGUGUACCUGGGAAAUAUGGUGGGCCAAGGCGUCGCCCGUCCUCAGGAGGUCAACGUGGAAGCAAUCCUGGCCUUCCCUGACCCUACCUCCCGGAAUCUCUGAGAUUCCUGAGAUUGGCUGGCUUCUACUGACGCUUCUGGAAGAAUUUUUCCACCCUGGCAGCACAAGUUCGUCCAAGCCGUUCAUCUGGAUUCCUGCCUGCGAAGAUGCCUCAACAUCUCAAGUUCGUCCAAGCCGUUCAUCUGGAUUCCUGCCUGCGAAGAUGCCUCAAUAUCUUAAGAUCUUUCUAGCCCCAAGACCAGCCGUUCGGACGCACCACCACUCAUCCUUUCCAUCUCCAGAUCGACGCCAGUGGAGCGGGAACCGGUGCGGUCCUCCUUCAGGCUGACCCCAACAAGCAACAUCCUCCACCCAGUCGUCUAUCACUCCGCCAAGCUGAAACGUCAAAAACUGAGGAACUCCACCAUUGAAAAGCUCUUGCUCUGGUUUUGGCUCUCCAACGGUUCGAGUGCUAUCUCCACCACAGCAUUCAACCCAUCCUGGUCCUCAUGGAUCACAACCCUCUAGCCUUCCUCCACUCCAAGAGGAACAAGAAUUAGCGGAUUUUCCAUUGGCCCCUCAUGACCCAGCCUUACAACCUCCAAUCCGCCACAUCAAAGGGCAUGACAGUCUCCUCGCUGAUACUCUCGAGAGUUCUUGCCUCACUCCUUCGUAACACAACAAUAUGGAUGUCUUUUGGUGGGAAGGUGUCACGUCCCGGAUUACUACACGCCUCGUUCCGCUCUUCCCUCCUCGUUCUGCCCCUCCUCACUCCUGUUCUCCUCGUUCCGCUCUUCCUUCCUCGUUCUGCCCCUCCUUGCUCCUGUUCUCCUCGUUCCGCUCUUCCCUCCUCGCUCCUCUUCUCGGGUCACGUAGCUCCUCUCAUCUGUCCGAACACCACUACCGAAGCCUCGAUACUCCUCGACACGCCACGUCGCCUCACUCUUGUCCCUCGCUUCCCCGUCCUCUUCCGUUGUUCACGAGGCAGCUCCGUUUCACAUCCUAGUCAGUUCUUUCGUGGACUCAGUGGCCCACGUUAGCUCCCAACUCUCACAAGGACAUCGCAACACCCACCGCCCUGUUUCGUUUUUGGCGGAGUGUAGUGUGCACCAUGCUUUCCCCCCGUGUCUCGCUGUGUUAGGAUUAGGUUUUAGUUUUAAGUUGGGCUAGUGCGUGUCUUCCCAUGUGUUUUUGUGAUUAUUUAUAAAUGCUUUGUGAUUAUUUAUAAAUGUUUGCUUUUUUUGUGCAUUUGUUAUUGUUUCCAUGUGUCUUUUUGUCAUUAUAUUCAAGUUAGGGUUACCACAGUUUUAACUACCCCACACCAAGCUUAUUCGACCUGUUAAUGUUAACCCUUGCAACUUCCCUCCCUUUAUUGUUGCGUGUGUUGGGCUCCUUCAAAGUAGUCUUCUGCUUAAACUCCAGGGACCGACUCUCACAUGCAACAAUAUUUCAUCAUAAAAUGUUAUAUUCAGUGCUAUCAUGUAUUAUUUUUCUAACAUAUGUAACAAGAGUAUUAGGAAGAGUCCUUGCAUUGGAUAGCUGGCCACCAUGGUUGUAUGCUGAAGCUCCUGGAUGGAGUGUCGUUGGGUGAGGCGGGCAGAGAGGGCUUGCGAGUGUUCAUGCCGGACGUGGGUUCUUUGUACAUACUUGUCUAAAGAAACUUUAAGAAUGUAAAAGCUACAA